CGUGCCAGCAGCCGCGGUAAUACGUAGGUGGCAAGCGUUAUCCGGAAGUAUUGGGCGUAAAGCGCGCGUAGGCGGUUUUUUAAGUCUGAUGUGAAAGCCCACGGCUCAACCGUGGAGGGUCAUUGGAAACUGGAAAACUUGAGUGCAGAAGAGGAAAGUGGAAUUCCAUGUGUAGCGGUGAAAUGCGCAGAGAUAUGGAGGAACACCAGUGGCGAAGGCGACUUUCUGGUCUGUAACUGACGCUGAUGUGCGAAAGCGUGGGGAUCAAACAGGAUUAGAUACCCUGGUAGUCCACGCCGUAAACGAUGA
Molecule: ribosomal RNA, 309 nt
Filed under: uncultured bacterium
Lineage: Bacteria
Description: bacterial SSU rRNA
Rfam family: Bacterial small subunit ribosomal RNA
Source: RNAcentral